RNAcentral lists this ribosomal RNA (253 nucleotides) under uncultured Porphyrobacter sp. RNAcentral's name for it is "partial 16S ribosomal RNA". It matches the Rfam family "Bacterial small subunit ribosomal RNA", at positions 524 to 776 of the family's 1533-position model. Lineage: Bacteria; Pseudomonadati; Pseudomonadota; Alphaproteobacteria; Sphingomonadales; Erythrobacteraceae. The record is from RNAcentral.
UACGGAGGGAGCUAGCGUUGUUCGGAAUUACUGGGCGUAAAGCGCGCGUAGGUGGUUUGUUAAGUUGAAUGUGAAAGCCCGGAGCUCAACUCCGGAACUGCCUUUGAAACUAGGUGACUAGAAUCUUGGAGAGGCGAGUGGAAUUCCGAGUGUAGAGGUGAAAUUCGUAGAUAUUCGGAAGAACACCAGUGGCGAAGGCGACUCGCUGGACAAGUAUUGACGCUGAGGUGCGAAAGCGUGGGGAGCAAACAGG